This is a long non-coding RNA of Manis pentadactyla (Chinese pangolin), 982 nucleotides long. RefSeq lists it as uncharacterized. The record is from RefSeq and is a predicted model, not a curated record. The transcript is spliced from 4 exons. NCBI's taxonomy places the organism in Eukaryota, Metazoa, Chordata, Mammalia, Pholidota, Manidae.
CCGAGAAGCAGCAGUAUGGGUGUGCAGGCUGCCAGGUGCCGUGGGGCAGGUGAAGGAAGAAGCCCAAGAAGGAGCGGCCCGAGAAGCAGCAGCACACAGGCUGCCAGGUGCCAUGGGGCAAGGGAAGGAUACAGUGGAGCCGUCAGCCCCAGAAAUGGAGGAGUGGAGGCCCUGCUGGUGCUGGAGGCGUCGGCCCCUCCUCGGUUGGGACCUCAUCUGGUUGAGAGAUGGUGGAAAGCAAGAAGGACUGGGCAACAGCGGGUUCUUUCAGGAGAGGCGCAGCCCCCUCCUCAGGCUGUGGAGCACUCCUACUCUGCCUCUAUCCCCAGGCUCAAGCACAAAAGGAAAUACGGUCUGCUUCUGGAAGGAAGAAUUUAAAGGGCCCCAUGAAGGUCACGAGGACCCAGAUGUGCGUUGGUUUGAAAAGGCAGAAGCAGACAGAAAGAAAUUGGAUGACUUUAGCUGUUGUGGCAGUUGAAACCGGAGCAGCGGUUCUGGCUGCUGAGGACGAAGCAGAAGGCAGAGAUUAAGCAACAAGAUCGGCCUGUGUGUCUGCAAGACUUUUUGCUGGAGAGGCUGGAGAAGAACGCUGCUGCCAUGCUGGGAGAAGCUCAAACCUGAUGGAGAAGAUACAUAAGAAUUGAGGCACUCUGACUGAUGAUCUCAGCAUCCAGCUGCCCCGACUGCUAGCCAGGUACUCUACUGGCAAUGAGAAAGUUACCUGUGGAAAAGACACAGGCUCAUCUCUGUGGUUGCAAGAUGACCUCCAGCAACUUAUCGGGCCACCUUGAGCAUCUGUCUGGAAGGUAGCAAUGCACCAUCCUGGAUGAGGUGAAUGAUGGCAAUACCUAAAGAUGGCAGAGCAACAGGAUAGAAGGAACCUGGAAUUUCUGACAUCCUGGAGCCCCUACAACAACCUUGGGCAGCUUCUGGACUGGAAUGAGAGAGAAAUGAAGUUCAAUAUUGUUUGCUGCAAUUUGAG